GCGGUAAUGGUGGAAUGGUAGACACGAGAGACUUAAAAUCUCUUGACCCUUAUCGGUCGUGUGGGUUCAAGUCCCACUUUCCGCA
This 85-nucleotide transfer RNA is filed under the name Muribaculaceae bacterium. Its description in RNAcentral is "tRNA-Leu". It matches the Rfam family "tRNA". Rfam says of the family: Transfer RNA (tRNA) molecules are approximately 80 nucleotides in length. Lineage: Bacteria; Pseudomonadati; Bacteroidota; Bacteroidia; Bacteroidales; Muribaculaceae. The record is from RNAcentral.